Molecule: ribosomal RNA, 377 nt
Filed under: uncultured bacterium
Lineage: Bacteria
Description: bacterial SSU rRNA
Rfam family: Bacterial small subunit ribosomal RNA
Source: RNAcentral
AUACGUAUGGUCCUAGCGUUGUCCGGAAUAACUGGGCGUAAAGGGUGUGUAGGCGGAUAUCCGUGUCAGGUGUGAAAUCCCCCGGCUUAACUGGGGCAUUGCGCUUGAAACUGGAUAUCUGGAGCAUGUCAGGGGUAAGCGGAAUUCCCGGAGUAGCGGUGAAAUGCGUAGAUAUCGGGAAGAACACCGGUGGCGAAGGCGGCUUACUGGGGCAUGGCUGACGCUGAGGCACGAAAGCGUGGGGAGCGAACGGGAUUAGAUACCCCGGUAGUCCACGCUGUAAACGAUGGAUACUAGAUGUCAGUUACAUUAAAGUAGUUGGUAUCGAAGUUAACACGAUAAGUAUCCCGCCUGGGGAGUACGGUCGCAAGAUUAAA